This 465-nucleotide ribosomal RNA is filed under the name uncultured Klebsiella sp. Its description in RNAcentral is "bacterial SSU rRNA". It matches the Rfam family "Bacterial small subunit ribosomal RNA", at positions 338 to 795 of the family's 1533-position model. The record is from RNAcentral. Lineage: Bacteria; Pseudomonadati; Pseudomonadota; Gammaproteobacteria; Enterobacterales; Enterobacteriaceae.
CCUACGGGCGGCAGCAGUGGGGAAUAUUGCACAAUGGGCGCAAGCCUGAUGCAGCCAUGCCGCGUGUGUGAAGAAGGCCUUCGGGUUGUAAAGCACUUUCAGCGGGGAGGAAGGCGGUGAGGUUAAUAACCUCAUCGAUUGACGUUACCCGCAGAAGAAGCACCGGCUAACUCCGUGCCAGCAGCCGCGGUAAUACGGAGGGUGCAAGCGUUAAUCGGAAUUACUGGGCGUAAAGCGCACGCAGGCGGUCUGUCAAGUCGGAUGUGAAAUCCCCGGGCUCAACCUGGGAACUGCAUUCGAAACUGGCAGGCUAGAGUCUUGUAGAGGGGGGUAGAAUUCCAGGUGUAGCGGUGAAAUGCGUAGAGAUCUGGAGGAAUACCGGUGGCGAAGGCGGCCCCCUGGACAAAGACUGACGCUCACGUGCGAAAGCGUGGGGAGCAAACAGGAUUAGAUACCCCAGUAGUC